UUAAGAGAAAAAUAUCUUUCUUUUUUCUUGUUUUAUAAAAUUUUAUGGCUUACCAUUUCAAUGUUUUUCAUUACACCUGUCAUGUAGCUAGGCAUUUCCGUCAGUAGAGUCCAAUAUCCCCAAUUUUGACCGCAAUGGACUAUCAGAAGAGCCCACAUGGGUAGCGAAGUGAAUAUUUCUUUCCAUGGUGUACGCAAUGUCUAAAAGACAUGGAAUGCAUCACGAAUCACAAUUAAAUGCGUUGUAUUAUUCUAUCUGUAUCUUAUUAAUGAAUCAUUACACAAAUCUAAAAAAUUGAUUCUAAAAAUUAUUACAAUGCAAUAAUAAAAAAAGUUUUACAUUAAAAAGUAGAUGUGUCUUUAGUUGAUGAUAUUAAGAAUAAUCAGAAAAAAGCAAAUAAGAUAUGUAGCAUAUCUAAAUUAGUUAUUGAGAUUUAUAAUAUUAUGUACAUACAAUAUAUAAAGCGUGUAUCGAUUAUUUUUUUUACCUGUUUGGAUUCAUCUUCAUUUUUUGUUUCUGUGGUUCUUAAACUUUCCUCUAUAUAUUCUCUUUCUUUCUGGGAAAUGCUACGAUGUUCGGCUGGUGAAUCUGCCCCGAAGAAGAAGAAAAUUAUACUCCAGAGGACCGAUAAUGCACCAAAUAAGUAGAAGAUGCUAGGCCAACCCACACUCGAUGCAGCGAGAAAUCCGGAAAUGGGCAUUGUAAUUACUGUACCGAAUUGGGCACCCGCAUAAGCAAAAGUUCCUGCAAUAAAAAACAGGUGGCGCCCAUUUGGAGAGAAGGGUUUGAGUGCAAGGUAACAGACAAGCUUGCAUAAACCCAUGCCUAUCCUGCAAACCAGAACAGCUGGCAAACCCCACCAGCUGGCCACAAAUGGUGUAAUGAUGUUGAAGAUACCACACAGCAACAUUCCGAUGCUGAGGAGCUUUUGGCCGCUCCAAAUGCCGGCAAUGUAGCCGCUCGGCACUUGCGUUAUCACAUAGCCCCAGAAAAUGAGCUGAGUACCAUGUUCUUCUGUACUUGAUCCCAGCCGUAAUCCUGAUGAUGAUGCAUUUAUUAAAUAGCACUAAUAUAGAUCAUGUAGACAAUAAAAAAGGAACAAUUUUGGCAUGGAAUAAUGUGAAUCAAAUAUCAAACGCAAGAUCGUAAUUUAAAUGAUAUUUUGUAAGUGCAAAAGGAAUUACGAUAUUACAUGCGCAGAUUUUUCCCAAGCAAUGAGUUCAUCGCGUUGUUGUUAUAUAAUGAGCAUGCUUGAUACGCUUAUCUGACACUUAAUUACACGAGAAUGUACUCUCGAAUAAGUUACAUGGUGUUUGAGCAUCAAACUAUUUAAACCACGCUUAAAAUAAAGAAUGACUUAAUUUACCUCGAUAUCUGGAUUUGCAGUACUCGCGUCUGCCAUUGCUACUAUGGCCACCGACAUUGAGACCCUUUGACUGUAUCCGAUGGUCAUGCCCAGGAACAGUAACAACGUCUGUACGUGUCUAAUCCCGAAGAUACCUGCGAAGAGAUCGUUCUUUUAUUUCAUGCAUCAUUCAGUGAAAUCGUCUUGAGAAUUUUUAAUCGCUCAUCCAUACUUGGUAAAAUUAUUAUUAUUAUUAUUACACUCUCUGUAUAGAGAAACACAACAGAAUCUUAUAAUACAAGAUGUCCUGUUCUAA
Non-coding RNA from Nylanderia fulva, 1661 nucleotides. Lineage: Eukaryota; Metazoa; Arthropoda; Insecta; Hymenoptera; Formicidae. The record is from RefSeq and is a predicted model, not a curated record.